GGCUACGGCCAUGCCACCCUGAACAAGCCCGAUCCCAUCUGAUCUCUGAAGCUAAGCAGGGUCGGGCCUGGUUAGUACUUAGAUGGGAGACCACCUAGGAAGACCAGGUGCUGUAGGGA
RNAcentral lists this ribosomal RNA (119 nucleotides) under Pteropus alecto (black flying fox). The record is from RNAcentral. Lineage: Eukaryota; Metazoa; Chordata; Mammalia; Chiroptera; Pteropodidae.